ACCUACGGGGCGCAGCAGUGGGGAAUAUUGCACAAUGGGGGGAACCCUGAUGCAGCGACGCCGCGUGAGUGAAGAAGUAUUUCGGUAUGUAAAGCUCUAUCAGCAGGGAAGAAGAUGACGGUACCUGACUAAGAAGCCCCGGCUAACUACGUGCCAGCAGCCGCGGUAAUACGUAGGGGGCAAGCGUUAUCCGGAUUUACUGGGUGUAAAGGGAGCGCAGACGGCAGGGCAAGUCUGGAGUGAAAGCCCGGGGCCCAACCCCGGUCCUGCUUUGGAACCUGCCAUG
This 286-nucleotide ribosomal RNA is filed under the name uncultured bacterium. RNAcentral's name for it is "partial 16S ribosomal RNA". It matches the Rfam family "Bacterial small subunit ribosomal RNA", at positions 337 to 640 of the family's 1533-position model. The record is from RNAcentral.